UGAGCAACCUGCCCUUGACCCUGGAAUAACAGCUGGAAACAGCUGCUAAUACCGGAUACGACCUCCGAUGGCAUCAUCUGGAGGUGGAAAGCUCCGACGGUCAAGGAUGGGCUCGCGGCCUAUCAGCUUGUUGGUGAGGUAAUGGCUUACCAAGGCGACGACGGGUAGCCGGCCUGAGAGGGUGACCGGCCACACUGGGACUGAGACACGGCCCAGACUCCCGUAGGGA
Molecule: ribosomal RNA, 229 nt
Filed under: uncultured bacterium
Lineage: Bacteria
Description: partial 16S ribosomal RNA
Rfam family: Bacterial small subunit ribosomal RNA
Source: RNAcentral